Molecule: ribosomal RNA, 265 nt
Filed under: uncultured bacterium
Lineage: Bacteria
Description: partial 16S ribosomal RNA
Rfam family: Bacterial small subunit ribosomal RNA
Source: RNAcentral
UGGCGACCGGCGCACGGGUGAGUAACACGUAUCCAACCUGCCGAUGACUCGGGGAUAGCCUUUCGAAAGAAAGAUUAAUACCCGAUGGCAUAGUUCUUCCGCAUGGUGGAACUAUUAAAGAAUUUCGGUUAUCGAUGGGGAUGCGUUCCAUUAGUUUGUUGGCGGGGUAACGGCCCACCAAGACUACGAUGGAUAGGGGUUCUGAGAGGAAGGUCCCCCACAUUGGAACUGAGACACGGUCCAAACUCCUACGGGAGGCAGCAUG